UAGUAUCAGCGUGUCAGCCGCCGCGGUAAUACGAAGGGUGCAAGCGUUACUCGGAAUUACUGGGCGUAAAGCGUGACGUAGGUGGUUUGUUAAGUCUGAUGUGAAAGCCCUGGGCUCAACCUGGGAACUGCAUUGGAAACUGGCUUACUACGAGUGCGGUAGAGGGUACGUGGAAUUCCCGGUGUAGCAGUGAAAUGCGUAGAUAUCGGGAGGAACAUCUGUGGCGAAGGCGACUACCUGGACCAGCACUGACACUGAGGCACGAAAGCGUGGGGAGCUAAACAGGGAUUAGAUACCCCUGGGUAGUCCACGCCCUAAACGAUGCGAACUGGAUGUUGGGAGCAACUUGGCUCUCAGUAUCGAAGCUAACGCGUAAGUCGCCGACCUGGGAAGUACGGUCGCAAGACUGAAACUUAAAUGAAUUGG
RNAcentral lists this ribosomal RNA (426 nucleotides) under uncultured bacterium. RNAcentral's name for it is "bacterial SSU rRNA". It matches the Rfam family "Bacterial small subunit ribosomal RNA", at positions 495 to 913 of the family's 1533-position model. The record is from RNAcentral.